RNAcentral lists this ribosomal RNA (376 nucleotides) under uncultured bacterium. Its description in RNAcentral is "bacterial SSU rRNA". It matches the Rfam family "Bacterial small subunit ribosomal RNA", at positions 524 to 898 of the family's 1533-position model. The record is from RNAcentral.
AACGUAGGAGGCAAGCGUUAUCCGGAUUCACUGGGCGUAAAGCGCGUGCAGGCGGUUUGGUAAGUUGGGCGUGAAAUCUCCCGGCUCAACUGGGAGGGGUCGUCCAAAACUACCAGACUCGAGAGCGAUAGAGGAAAAUGGAAUUCCCGGUGUAGUGGUGAAAUGCGUAGAUAUCGGGAGGAACACCAGUGGCGAAAGCGAUUUUCUGGAUCGUUUCUGACGCUCAGACGCGAAAGCUAGGGUAGCAAACGGGAUUAGAGACCCCGGUAGUCCUAGCUGUAAACGAUGUGAACUUGGCGUUGGUGGCUUAAACUCCAUCAGUGCCGCAGCUAACGCGAUAAGUUCACCGCCUGGGGACUACGGCCGCAAGGUUAAA